AGAACAAAGGCCUGGAGACUGGAGCGAGCUGCGUUCUUGGGGGUGGGGGGUGGGGCGGCAGCUGGAGAGUGGGGGCUUCCCCAGCGGGAGAGGGAGGACGAUUCUGGAUGGCUUCCCUCCUUGUGGACAGAGUGAGUCUCUGCUAUGAGAAAGAGACGGGGUUUCACCGUCUUAGCCAGGAUGGUCUCGAUCUCCUGACCUCGUGAUCCGCCCGCCUCGGCCUCCCAAAGUGCUAGGACUAACAGGCGUGAGCCACCGCACCCGGCCAAGCUGGAUCUUAAGCUUGCUUACCGGUGACUUGUUGACCUCAUCUUGGCUCAAAGAAGACACGGCCCCAGACCCGUGUUGGAGCCACACUGCCCGGGACAGCCCUGAAGCAGCCACGUCCCCACCUUUCAGGAGUCGGCCAAGAGCACGGUGGCUGCAGAAGGCCCUGGCUGAUGGAGAUAACAUUUGACAAACAGGUGCUUUUCCAAUUAUGGAUAACAACAGAAAAGCAGUCAUUGGUUUCUAAAAGGUCAUCAAGAUAUAAAGCCCGUUUGGGAAGGGAAUGACUUACGCAGUGGGCUUGUAUAAAUCUGGAGAAGUUUUAUGCACAAGUCGGACAAGAAAUGUGUUCUACAUACGGCUCGGGAGCCAGCAAGUGCGUAUGAAGCCCCUUCACAUGGCUAGUGGCAUCCUAAGGACCCGGCGACAAUUAGUCAUGGCGUCAUCGAACACCAGGCUGGAGGAGGUCUUGGAUGCCACAGCUCCUUUUGAAUUUCAAAGACGUUCAAAUCCCCAUCUGGCUGUUACACUUUUAGGCUAUUGAGAGUGAAAACAAGCACUGACAUGAACACCCAACCAGCUGCCGGUGACAUCGUCCCCUUCUGAGAUCUGAGGACAUGGAUACCCAACCACCUGCCGGUGACAUCGUCUCCUUCUGAGAUCUGAGGACAUGAACACCCAACCACCUGCCGGUGAUAUCGUCCCCUUCUGAGAUCUGAGGACGUGGAUAUCCAACCACCUGCCGGUGACAUUGUCUCCUUCUGAGAUCUGAGGACAUGGACACCAAACCACCUGCCGGUGACAUUGUCUCCUUCUGAGAUCUGAGGACAUGAACACCAAACCACCUGCCAGUGACAUCGUCCCCUUCUGAGAUCUGAGGACAUGGAUACCCAACCACCUGCCGGUGACAUCGUCUCCUUCUGAGAUCUGAGGACAUGGACACCCAACCACCUGCCGGUGACAUCGUCUCCUUCUGAGAUCUGAGGACAUGAACACCCAACCACCUGC
This 1275-nucleotide long non-coding RNA is filed under the name Homo sapiens (human). RNAcentral describes it as "non-protein coding lnc-SEPT9-3:13". Lineage: Eukaryota; Metazoa; Chordata; Mammalia; Primates; Hominidae. The record is from RNAcentral.